GUUCUGUUCCUUCCUCCUCCGCGGCCUGGCCUCCACACCGCGCGUCGCAUCAUGUGAGGGGUCCUCUCUCAAAUGUGUUCGCCGCCCGAAAGCUGUCUGACGAAGUGCUCACAGUGAAGCCAGAGGAAAGCCAGAAGAUGGUUACAGAAGGAAAGUAGUUUGCAAGCUGGUCUGCUACUGUUGGCGAGCCACUGGAGGAUACUUGGUGACCAACUUGUUUUGGUCAUCGAUAGAGAUCGUCCAGGAGGGUGCUUGUCUGGGAAUGACCUUCAUGACCUCACCACCGCUCCGCCCCGGAAAUAUCAACCGCCAACCAGAAGCUCUGUACUACGGCCUACAGGAUGUGGUUGACUGGUCCCAGUGAUGGACAGGUGACCAGCCAGCCCCCUAGCUGCCCUCUCCUGCCGUGACUCCCACCCCUCCGCCCC
Esox lucius (northern pike) is the source of this 428-nucleotide long non-coding RNA. Lineage: Eukaryota; Metazoa; Chordata; Actinopteri; Esociformes; Esocidae. The record is from Ensembl.